Sciurus carolinensis (gray squirrel) is the source of this 788-nucleotide long non-coding RNA. RefSeq lists it as uncharacterized. NCBI's taxonomy places the organism in Eukaryota, Metazoa, Chordata, Mammalia, Rodentia, Sciuridae. The transcript has 3 exons. The record is from RefSeq and is a predicted model, not a curated record.
CCGGUUGGACCCCAGCUCGGCCUGCGGCUCUCUGACCACAGAGCCGGGCUGGACUGAGGAAUGGCGAAGAGGGAGAGAAGAGUCUGGGCACCAAGUCAGCUUGCUGAGCGUCCUCGGAGCCCGACUGGACCCGGCUCUGUCCCCGCCCCUCCCAGUGACCUCGGACAGGAUCCAUCACCUCUCUAAGUCGGGUUUCCCCCCCACCUGGCGCCGGACUAAAGGGAACACCAUAGAUGCUAACGCAGAGAACAUAUCACACUGUUUUGUGCCUAUUUAUCAGUCUGUCUUUACCUCUGGACUGAGCUCUGGGAAGGCAGGGGUAGCAUUUUGUGUGUGGAUCUCCAAAACCUAGAAGAGAUUUUUGCACAGUCAAUAUGAAGCAAAUGUUUGCUGAAUACUGGCUCAAUUAACAAAGAGUGACCACUACUUUCUUUGCUUGCGUGAACUUCUAGGCACAUAUGGAAGUCUUCUAGACCUACAUGCAGAAAGCAUUCUGAAAAACAGAAGAAUGGAACUGACUUCAUGAAUAAUUUUGAAAUCUUUCAAUUACAAAAUCAGUUUUAGAACAUUUAAUAGACAUCUUCUCGUAUAAUCUUUACUUCAAAGACUUUAUCUCUUUUAUGAAACCCAUAUUUACCUUCUCAUGUGCCAAACUCAAUUCACACAAUGUUAUAGUUAGAAGCGAACUUUAAAAUUAUUCAGUCCGGUUCUUUGGUUUUGCAAGUGAAACCGAGGUUUAGUGAUAUGGAAUCUUAACUCAAGCUCAUGGGGCUAGAGAAUGCCAGAGG